AUCUUCUUCGGAGAGAGCGGCGGACGGGUGAGUAACGCGUGGGUAACCUGCCCUGUCACACGGAUAACAUACCGAAAGGUAUGCUAAUACGGGAUAACAUAAGAAAUUCGCAUGUUUUUUUUAUCAAAGCUCCGGCGGUACAGGAUGGACCCGCGUCUGAUUAGCUAGUUGGUGAGGUAACGGCUCACCAAGGCGACGAUCAGUAGCCGACCUGAGAGGGUGAUCGGCCACAUUGGAACUGAGACACGGUCCAAACUCCUACGGGAGGCAGCAGUGGGGAAUAUUGCACAAUGGGCGAAAGCCUGAUGCAGCAACGCCGCGUGAGCGAUGAAGGCCUUCGGGUCGUAAAGCUCUGUCCUCAAGGAAGAUAAUGACGGUACUUGAGGAGGAAGCCCCGGCUAACUACGUGCCAGCAGCCGCGGUAAUACGUAGGGGGCUAGCGUUAUCCGGAUUUACUGGGCGUAAAGGGUGCGU
RNAcentral lists this ribosomal RNA (474 nucleotides) under uncultured bacterium. Its description in RNAcentral is "bacterial SSU rRNA". It matches the Rfam family "Bacterial small subunit ribosomal RNA", at positions 79 to 572 of the family's 1533-position model. The record is from RNAcentral.